AUACGUAGGGUGCGAGCGUUAAUCGGAAUUACUGGGCGUAAAGCGUGCGCAGGCGGUUUUGUAAGACAGUGGUGAAAUCCCCGGGCUCAACCUGGGAACUGCCAUUGUGACUGCAAGGCUGGAGUGCGGCAGAGGGGGAUGGAAUUCCGCGUGUAGCAGUGAAAUGCGUAGAUAUGCGGAGGAACACCGAUGGCGAAGGCAAUCCCCUGGGCCUGCACUGACGCUCAUGCACGAAAGCGUGGGGAGCAAACAGGAUUAGAUACCCUGGUAGUCCACGCCCUAAACGAUGUCAACUGGUUGUUGGGAAUUUAUUUUCUCAGUAACGAAGCUAACGCGUGAAGUUGACCGCCUGGGGAGUACGGCCGCAAGAUUAAAACUCAAAUGAAUUGACGGGG
This 395-nucleotide ribosomal RNA is filed under the name uncultured bacterium. RNAcentral's name for it is "partial 16S ribosomal RNA". It matches the Rfam family "Bacterial small subunit ribosomal RNA", at positions 523 to 918 of the family's 1533-position model. The record is from RNAcentral.